CUUGUUUUCUGAAGGAAACCGUAACAUUCAGACAUUUAAGCUGUAAAUGAACUUUUCUUUAUGACGUUUAAUUUUCUCUCCAAUUCUUAGGUCCUGCUCCGCUUCGCAGUGGAAUGGAACGGAUUUAGAAGCCUGCAGUAGGGGAGUGGGGAGUGGAGAGAGGGAGCCCAGAGUUACAGACGGCGGCGAGAGGCCCCAAAGAGUCUGAUGUUUACAAGACCAGAAAUGCCACGGCCGCGUCCUGGCAGAGAAAAGGCUGAAAUGGAGGACCGGCGCCUUCCUUAUAAGUAUGCACAUUGGCGAGAGAAGUGCUGCAACCUAAACCAGCAAUUACACCCAAGCUCGUUGGGGCCUAAGCCAGUACCGACCUGGUAGAAAAAGCAACCACGAAGCUAGAGAGAGAGCCAGAGGAGGGAAGAGAGCGCCAGACGAAGGUGAAAGCGAACCACGCAGAGAAAUGCAGGCAAGGGAGCAAGGCGGCAGUUCCCGGAACAAACGUGGCAGAGGGCAAGACGGGCACUCACAGACAGAGGUUUAUGUAUUUUUAUUUUUUAAAAUCUGAUUUGGUGUUCCAUGAGGAAAAGGGAAAAUCUAGGGAACGGGAGUACAGAGAGAAUAAUCCGGGUCCUAGCUCGCCACAUGAACGCCCAGAGAACGCUGGAAAAACCUGAGCGGGUGCCGGGGCAGCACCCGGCUCGGGUCAGCCACUGCCCCACACCGGGCCCACCAAGCCCCGCCCCUCGCGGCCACCGGGGCUUCCUUGCUCUUCUUAUCAUCUCCAUCUUUAUGAUGAGGCUUGUUAACAAGACCAGAGAGCUGGCCAAGCACCUCUAUCUCAGCCGCGCCCGCUCAGCCGAGCAGCGGUCGGUGGGGGGACUGGGAGGCGCUAAUUAAUUGAUUCCUUUGGACUGUAAAAUAUGGCGGCGUCUACACGGAACCCAUGGACUCAUAAACAAUAUAUCUGUUGGGCGUGAGUGCACUGUCUCUCAAAUAAUUUUUCCAUAGGCAAAUGUCAGAGGGUUCUGGAUUUUUAGUUGCUAAGGAAAGAUCCAAAUGGGACCAAUUUUAGGAGGCCCAAACAGAGUCCGUUCAGUGUCAGAAAAUGCUUCCCCAAAGGGGUUGGGAGUGUGUUUUGUUGGAAAAAAGCUUGGGUUAUAGGAAAGCCUUUCCCUGCUACUUGUGUAGACCCAGCCCAAUUUAAGAAUUACAAGGAAGCGAAGGGGUUGUGUAGGCCGGAAGCCUCUCUGUCCCGGCUGGAUGCAGGGGACUUGAGCUGCUCCGGAAUUUGAGAGGAACAUAGAAGCAAAGGUCCAGCCUUUGCUUCGUGCUGAUUCCUAGACUUAAGAUUCAAAAACAAAUUUUUAAAAGUGAAACCAGCCCUAGCCUUUGGAAGCUCUUGAAGGUUCAGCACCCACCCAGGAAUCCACCUGCCUGUUACACGCCUCUCCAAGACACAGUGGCACCGCUUUUCUAACUGGCAGCACAGAGCAACUCUAUAAUAUGCUUAUAUUAGGUCUAGAAGAAUGCAUCUUGAGACACAUGGGUAACCUAAUUAUAUAAUGCUUGUUCCAUACAGGAGUGAUUAUGCAGUGGGACCCUGCUGCAAACGGGACUUUGCACUCUAAAUAUAGACCCCAGCUUGGGACAAAAGUUGCAGUAGAAAAAUAGACAUAGGAGAACACUUAAAUAAGUGAUGCAUGUAGACACAGAAGGGGUAUUUAAAAG
RNAcentral lists this long non-coding RNA (1725 nucleotides) under Homo sapiens (human). RNAcentral's name for it is "HOX transcript antisense RNA variant G1.17". The record is from RNAcentral. Lineage: Eukaryota; Metazoa; Chordata; Mammalia; Primates; Hominidae.